UGAGUACGAGAUGCUACGGCAUCGAAGCAGUCUAUGUCAUACUUCCAAGAAAAGCUUGCACUGUCAUAAACAAAGAAUGCCUGUACCAUAACCGACACAGGUGGGUAGGUAGAGUAUACUAAGGGGCGCGAGAUAACUCUCUCUAAGGAACUCGGCAAAAUGACUCCGUAACUUCGGGAGAAGGAGUGCCUUAUUUCUAAGGUUGCAAUAACAAGAUCCAAGCAACUGUUUACCAAAAACACAGGUCUCCGCUAAGUCGUAAGACGAUGUAUGGGGGCUGACGCCUGCCCAGUGCCAGAAGGUUAAAGAAGUUGGUUAGCAUUAGCGAAGCUGAUAACUGAAGCCCUGGUGAACGGCGGCCGUAACAAUAACGGUCCUAAGGUAGCGAAAUUCCUUGUCGGGUAAGUUCCGACCCGCACGAAAGGCGUAAUGAUUUGGAUACUGUCUCGGAGAGGGGCUCGGUGAAAUAGACUUGUCUGUGAAGAUGCGGACUACCUGCACCUGGACAGAAAGACCCUAUGAAGCUUUACUGUAACUUGAGAUUGAAAUUGGACUUUAUUUGCGCAGUAUAGGUGGGAGGCGUUGAGAAUAAUCUUGCGGGAUUGUUGGAGCCAUCAGUGAGAUACCACUCUUGUAAUGUUAGAUUUCUAACUUUGUAUCAUUAUCUGGUCAAAGAACAGUUUCAGGCGGGCAGUUUGACUGGGGCGGUCGCCUCCCAAAGGGUAACGGAGGCGCACAAAGGUUUCCUCUGAACGGGUAGAAAUCGUAUCUAGAGUGUAAAGGCAUAAGGAAGCUUGACUGUGAGACCUACAAGUCGAGCAGGGACGAAAGUCGGUCUUAGUGAUCUGACGGUGCUGAGUGGAAAGGCCGUCACUCAACGGAUAAAAGUUACUCUAAGGAUAACAGGCUGAUCUCCCCCAAGAGUUCACAUCGACGGGGAGGUUUGGCACCUCGAUGUCGGCUCAUCGCAUCCUGGGGCGGUAGUCCGUCCCAAGGGUUGGGCUGUUCGCCCAUGAAAGCGGUACGCGAGCUGGGUUCAGAACGUCGUGAGACAGUUCGGUCCAUAUCCGGUGUAGGCGUUAGAAUAUUGAGAGGAGCCUUCUCUAGUACGAGAGGACCGAGAAGGACAUACCUCUGGUGUACCAGUUAUCGUGCCAACGGUAAACGCUGGGUAGCUAUGUAUGGAGUGGAUAACCGCUGAAAGCAUCUAAGUGGGAAGCCCACCUCAAGAUAAGUAUUCUCAGC
This 1245-nucleotide ribosomal RNA is filed under the name metagenome. RNAcentral's name for it is "bacterial LSU rRNA". It matches the Rfam family "Bacterial large subunit ribosomal RNA", at positions 1564 to 2818 of the family's 2925-position model. The record is from RNAcentral.